CACGUAGGGGGCGAGCGUUGUCCGGAUUUAUUGGGCGUAAAGAGCUCGUAGGCGGCUCGGUAAGUCGGGUGUGAAAACUCUAGGCUCAACCUAGAGACGCCACCUGAUACUGCUGUGGCUAGAGUCCGGUAGGGGAGCAUGGAAUUCCUGGUGUAGCGGUGAAAUGCGCAGAUAUCAGGAGGAACACCGAUGGCGAAGGCAGGUCUCUGGGCCACUACUGACGCUGAGAAGCGAAAGCAUGGGGAGCGAACAGG
Molecule: ribosomal RNA, 254 nt
Filed under: uncultured bacterium
Lineage: Bacteria
Description: partial 16S ribosomal RNA
Rfam family: Bacterial small subunit ribosomal RNA
Source: RNAcentral